This is a small nuclear RNA of Octodon degus (degu), 105 nucleotides long. The record is from Ensembl. NCBI's taxonomy places the organism in Eukaryota, Metazoa, Chordata, Mammalia, Rodentia, Octodontidae.
GUGCUCACUUUAACAGCACAUACACUAAAAUUGCAACACUACAGAAGAUUAGCAUGGCCCCUGCACAAGGAUGACAUGCAAAUUCAUGAAGCAUUCCAUAUUUUA